GGUGGCUCAGUGGUAGAGUGCUUGUCUUGCAUGCCAGAGUCCCUGGGUUCGAUUCCUCAGCACCA
This 65-nucleotide transfer RNA is filed under the name Dipodomys ordii (Ord's kangaroo rat). It matches the Rfam family "tRNA". From Rfam's summary of the family: Transfer RNA (tRNA) molecules are approximately 80 nucleotides in length. Their secondary structure includes four short double-helical elements and three loops (D, anti-codon, and T loops). Further hydrogen bonds mediate the characteristic L-shaped molecular structure. tRNAs have two regions of fundamental functional importance: the anti-codon, which is responsible for specific mRNA codon recognition, and the 3' end, to which the tRNAs corresponding amino acid is attached (by aminoacyl-tRNA synthetases). tRNAs cope with the degeneracy of the genetic code in two manners: having more than one tRNA (with a specific anti-codon) for a particular amino acid; and 'wobble' base-pairing, i.e. permitting non-standard base-pairing at the 3rd anti-codon position. Lineage: Eukaryota; Metazoa; Chordata; Mammalia; Rodentia; Heteromyidae. The record is from Rfam by way of RNAcentral.